GAUGAACGCUGGCGGCGUGCUUAAUACAUGCAAGUCGAGCGAAGCGCUUUAACGGAAUUCUUCGGAAGGAAGAUAAAGUGACUGAGCGGCGGACGGGUGAGUAACGCGUGGGUAACCUGCCUCAUACAGGGGGAUAACAGUUAGAAAUGGCUGCUAAUACCGCAUAAGCGCACAGGACCGCAUGGUCUGGUGUGAAAAACUCCGGUGGUAUGGGAUGGACCCGCGUUGGAUUAGGUAGUUGGUGGGGUAACGGCCUACCAAGCCGACGAUCCAUAGCCGGCCUGAGAGGGUGGACGGCCACAUUGGGACUGAGACACGGCCCAGACUCCUACGGGAGGCAGCAGUAGGGAAUAUUGCACAAUGGGGGAAACCCUGAUGCAGCGACGCCGCGUGAAGGAAGAAGUAUCUCGGUAUGUAAACUUCUAUCAGCAG
RNAcentral lists this ribosomal RNA (432 nucleotides) under uncultured bacterium. RNAcentral describes it as "bacterial SSU rRNA". It matches the Rfam family "Bacterial small subunit ribosomal RNA", at positions 28 to 442 of the family's 1533-position model. The record is from RNAcentral.